AGGUAAGGCCUGCUGCACCUUUAUCACUGCAGGCACUCGGCCGUGCUGUGGGCUCAUGAGUGGGCCUUAGACGUGAAUCGUCGAUGGUACGGUGUGAGGAGGGGUUGAAUGCCCC
RNAcentral lists this non-coding RNA (115 nucleotides) under Paenibacillus sp. P22. Its description in RNAcentral is "epsC RNA". It matches the Rfam family "epsC RNA". Lineage: Bacteria; Bacillati; Bacillota; Bacilli; Caryophanales; Paenibacillaceae. The record is from RNAcentral.